AGUUGAUUUCCCUGAGAUUGAGGUUUAAGUAACCCCCCCCCCUCUCUUCCUCUCCUUCUUAUAGGAGUUUUCUUCCCCUCCCCUUCCCAUGUGAAUCUUUGUGUGAGAAUGAUUAUUCUAUUUGGUCUUUCUUUACCCCCUAUUUAUACAUUACAUUUCCCCCACAUAUUAGUAUACAUAGAUUGAUAUAAAUGUAGUCCUUAUAGAAGAGAGUUUGAGUAAAAGAAGAAGAUAACAUUUUUCCCCUUUCCUUAAUAUUUACCUUUUCAGGUAUUUCUUGCUCUUUGAUUUUCAGUAUCAAACUUUCCACAGAGCUCUGGUCUUUUCUUUGCAAAAAGUUGGAAGUCUUCUAUUUUGUUGAAUGCCCAUACUUUCCCUUGGAAGUAUAUAGUCAGUUUUGCUGGGUAGCUGAUUCUUGGUUGGAGACCCAGCUCUCUUGCCUUUCUGAAGACCAUGUUCCGUGCCUUACGGUCAUUCAGAGUAGAACUUGCAAGGUCUUGUGUGACCCUGAUUGGCAUUCCUUUAUAUCUAAAUUGUCUUUUUCUGGCUUCCUGUAGGAUUUUUUCUUUUGUUUGAUAGCUUUGGAAUUUGGCAAUUACAUUCCUGGGAGUUGUCUUUUGGGGGUUUAAUGUAGAAGGUGUUCUGUGAGCUCUGUCAGUGGCUGUAUUGCCCCCUUGUUCUAGAAUCUCUGGGCAAUUUUCUUUGAUUAUAUCUUGUAUCACCAUGUCCAGUUUGGUGUUUAUUUCUGGCUUUUCUGGGAGUCCAAUUAUUCUUAAAUUAUCCCUUCUCCCUCUAUUUUCCAGAUCUAUCACCUUGUUGGUGAGAUAUUUUAUGUUCUCUUCUAAUUUCUUGGUAUUUUGGCUUUGCUUUAUUAAUUCUUGCUCUUUUACACGAUCGUUGUCUUCCAGAUCUGUCAUCUUGUCGGUGAGAUAUUUUAUGUUCUCUUCUAAUUUCUUGGUAUUUUGGCUUUGCUUUAUUAAUUCUUGCUCUUUUACACGAUCGUUGUCUUCCAGCUGCCUGAUUCUGGCCUUUAAAGCCUGGUUUUCCUUUUCAGUUUCAUCACACCGGUUUUGUAGAUGCAUGAAUUUCUUUUGCAUUAUUUCCAACUUUUCCUCCCAGAAGGCUUCCAUCUUUUUGGUCAUUUCUGAUUCAAAUUCUUCAUGGGUUUGUGGAGAGUUUCCAUUUCCUUUGGAAGGUUUUGGAGCAUUUUCUUGUAUAUCAUAUUCUAUCUGCUCUGUAUUUUGUAUUUUGGCUCCAUAGAAUGUGUCCAAAGUCGCCCCUUUCUUCUUAUUUUUCUUGGUAUUUUGGGGCUUCUGUGCUUCUGUGGAGUUUGCCAUCUCUGAAUGUGGAGGAUUAGUUUUUCUUAUCUCUUUCUGGUGUUCAGAGGCUUUAGUCCUGGGCAGAUUGUCGGUUCUAUGAGGUUUCCCUGGGUUAAAUUGAGUAUGCCUCACUGGAACUGGAAUGGAAGGGUCAGACCAGGAGGCCACACUCUCCCCCGGCUCUCUGGGUUGGGUUGCUUUCCGGAAGUUGCCUUCAGAAUAGCUGGCCGUGAGGCUGUUUCGUCGGCCUGCGGGGGGGAUGGGCUGUGGCUUCCCGGAGCUCCGAGGGCAGGGACUUUCACUGAGACUUGGAUAGCAGGAUCCAGCCCGUGAGGCUGUCUUGCCCGCCCUGAGGGUUGCUGUUGUUUUGACCCUGCUCUCUGCGGGGGGAGCUCCGAGCGGGGCGGGGCUGCGGCUUCCCGGAGCCUUGGACUCUGCGCUCCUACCCCUUAGGUCCGAGUGAUCUCGGGUUCUGGCUUUUGAGGGGGGCCGUACCUUUUGAUCCGGGUCCAGGUCCAGGAGGAGGGUUCCCAGGGUCUAUGCUGUUGAUUGUCUUGAAUUUCGGCGCCUUAGGAGCUUAUAGUUUGAGAUCGGUCGGGAAGGGUUUUCCGGAGAUCUGAACUUUAGCUUUCUCUAAGCCGCCAUCUUGACCGGAAGUCCAGAUCUUCUAACAUGGAGACACCCUGUAACCUGCCUUUUCCUACC
Molecule: long non-coding RNA, 2024 nt
Organism: Monodelphis domestica (gray short-tailed opossum)
Lineage: Eukaryota; Metazoa; Chordata; Mammalia; Didelphimorphia; Didelphidae
Source: Ensembl